This is a non-coding RNA of Vicia faba (fava bean), 201 nucleotides long. NCBI's taxonomy places the organism in Eukaryota, Viridiplantae, Streptophyta, Magnoliopsida, Fabales, Fabaceae. The record is from the annotation of a GenBank genome assembly.
AUGUUCCACCGAUCAAUAAGGUGUGUUCGUAUUGUUUCCUUUCUUCCAACCCAACCCCCAAAUUCGUUCCCUCUUCGUACUCUCACGGUAGCCUCUUUCCGUUCAAUCGCCACCAUCGUCAACUCUCAUCGCCGCCGCACGACUCGUCCCCCUCUUCACCAAGGUCCGUCUGUAUUUCUGGAAUUAUUCUUAACAACAUAA